Molecule: transfer RNA, 58 nt
Filed under: Oxyrrhis marina
Lineage: Eukaryota; Dinophyceae; Oxyrrhinales; Oxyrrhinaceae
Description: partial tRNA
Source: RNAcentral
CGUGGCCUUGUAGUUAAGACACCAGGCUGGUAACCUGCGGGGUCGCAGGUUCGAGCCC